Molecule: ribosomal RNA, 382 nt
Filed under: uncultured eukaryote
Lineage: Eukaryota
Description: partial 18S ribosomal RNA
Rfam family: Eukaryotic small subunit ribosomal RNA
Source: RNAcentral
UGUAAGCGUAUACCAAAGUUGUUGCAGUUAAAACGCUCGUAGUCGGAAUUUGGCAGUUCCGGAUGUGUGCACGUCGUGUGCGCACUUCGCGGGGAUUGCUUUUGUGGUCUUGCGUAGGAUGAGGCACUUUUAUUAGUGAACGUCCUCACGCAACCACUUUUUACUGUGAGAAAAUCAGAGUGCUCAAAGCAGGCAUUUGCCGUGAAGGUAUUAGCAUGGAAUAAUAGAAUAGGACUUGGUUCUAUUUUGUUGGUUUGUUGGGACUGAGUAAUGAUUAAGAGGGACAGUUGGGGGCAUUUGUAUUUCGGUGCUAGAGGUGAAAUUCUUAGAUUACCGAAAGACAAACUGCUGCGAAAGCGUCUGCCAAGGAUGUUUUCAUUGA